AACGAACGCUGGCGGCAUGCCUAACACAUGCAAGUCGAACGAGACCUUCGGGUCUAGUGGCGUACGAGUUCGUAACGCGUGGGGACCUGCCCUUAGGUUCGGAAUAACUCCCCGAAAGGGGUGCUAAUACCAGAUCAUGUCUUCGGCCCAAAGAUUUAUUGACUUUGUAUGUGCCAGCGUUGGAUUAGCUAGUUGGUAGGGUAAAAGCCUACCAAGGCGACGAUCCAUAGCUGGUAUGAGAGGCUGAUUAGCCACACUGGGACUGAGACACGGCCCAGAAUCCUACGGGAGGCAGCAGUGGGGAAUAGUGGACAAUGGGCGAAAGCCUGAUCCAGCAAUGCCGCGUGAGUGAUGAAGGUCGUAGGGUUGUAAAGCUCUUUUACCCGGGAUGAUAAUGACAGUACCGGGAGAAUAAGCUCCGGCUAACUCCGUG
This 433-nucleotide ribosomal RNA is filed under the name uncultured bacterium. RNAcentral describes it as "partial 16S ribosomal RNA". It matches the Rfam family "Bacterial small subunit ribosomal RNA", at positions 29 to 507 of the family's 1533-position model. The record is from RNAcentral.